ACACACACACACACACACACACAUAUACACUGUGCAGUAGGCCAGGUGCAGCAGUGUGUCCGUCGCCACGGCCAUGUUUGUGUGCAUAAAGUGUUGUGUGUAUCUACCUGCUACACUAAUGAUCUUCAGCUGUAAGCAACACACACAAAUACACUCACACACGGUGGAGAGAAGGACGGGCGAGACGAACAAACAGGGGAACGCGCGAGACAAAGGAAGACACGGUAAGGAAAAGAUGAAAUGCGCGAUGCAGGUGUCAGACACCAAACGAAAUACAGGUACCGACGGAAUUAACACGAGGAGAAAGACACGAAGGAGGAAGCUGAGAGGAGGAGGAAUAAAAGGCGAGGAUGAGGAAGGGCAACGAAGAGCGAUAUAGGAAAGGUGAGGAGGGAGGCACAAAGGAGGAGAGGAAGAGGAGGGAGACAUGUUGGCAUCUGUCCAAACGACAGCCUCUCCCUCUCCUCCGUUCUGGUUUGAAUACCGCCGCAUGUCAUUAGAGCCGCCAAUCAACAGCUGCCGGCGCUCUGCUGCAGCGUGCAGCUCCAUGCAGGAGGACAGCUGCAGGCCGACGCACAAUCCCUGCACGCUGUGCGCUUUAAUGGGUCCCGCCCACAGGACCCCCCAUGAGGUCAGCCCACCACAAUCACCAUACAAUCGCUCGUCCUGAAUGGGGGGUUUUACUUCUGCAGGUCUACUUUAACCUGGGGAUUAUUUCUGUUUGGGUGUUUUUAAUCACUGUGAAGCACUUUGUCAACUCUUCCCACUGAAAGCCUGUGAAGAGAAGAGGCACAUACCUGCAGGUCGGACACGUUUCACCAAUAAGGACAGCGAGUGUAAAAAUGGACAUUAAGGUAAGAGGUGGAGAACUGGUGAAAACGGCCGCUAACUGGAUUUGAUAUAAUAUAAUAUUUCAUUUUGGCCGCCGUCUUGGACGUUACUCCUAGAAAGAAAGAAAGAAAGAAAGUCUGACCUCAGUGAGUUAGAUGUAAUAUAGAGGAGGUAUAAACUGGGGCUAACGGGAUAUAAAUCAUAUAAUGAUACGGCAGAUGAAAUCCAGCAUUCUGAUUGGUUGAGAGUAUUGAGCAACAAUGUUGCUGUUCACAUUGACGUAUCACGGCGCACUCAAGCAGCAGGUUAGGUUUUGUGUGAACGUUCGGUGACGAAAAAACCCCGUAAAUGCCACAAAUGAUCAGUUUGAUCGGUUUGGGGCAAUGAGAGCUUUCACAAGGUGGACGUCAUGAGCGAUGCUGUGAGAUCUUACAAAGAGGCUCAACUACUUUUCUCUGGACUACUGAAAUGAGAUACACAACUAUUUUGUGCUGAAGGCAGCGAUUUACUUACUAUUUAUAAUGUCGCUGGCAACCGUAUUAUGAAAGCAAUAAGGUACUUGAGGCAGUAAUUCUUCAGUAAUAUAGCAGUUUGAGGGUUGCUGUUACAUUAUUGGACGAUAAAGUACAGCCUCUCGUACCUUAUUGCUUAAAUAUAAAUUGUAGAUAAACCUUUAGGGACGACUUAAUGUAUCUGGAGUUUUGAACGUUGGCAGAACCUUUCACUUGACCUUUCAACUUUUAGAUAAGCGGACAUUCACACACCUGCUUCACACUUGUGUGGGGGGGUAAUAAAAUAAAGACAAAACCAUAACAUCACCUGUGGUCAGAGUUAAAUCUGAUUCUCUCAUUCAUCACAGCAACCUUUUCCAGACGGGGAAACCCAAAUGUCCAAAUACUGGGACAGGAAGAAUGUCUGUCGUCCUGGCAACCGGGUAAAUAUUUAAGGGCAGAAGGGAGUUUGUUGAACUGGUGAAGUGAUGGCUGAGGGCUCUCUCACCCUCUGCACAUCUGUCUGUCCUCAAGUUGACUCUCUGGUUGCGUUUCUUUCCCUCCCUCUCUUUGCUGACUGAGCUGUACAGUUAGCACAACCAAGCACACUAAACUUUAGUUAGUCACUUUAGAUGUCCCACCUGGUGCCCAGGUCAAGUGUCAGACUAUAUCCAAUAGUUAAUUGCAUUGAUCAUCACUGAGCUAAUCGCAUGAAUAAUAACCUCUGAUUUAAUGCGCUUCCUUUAGCUGGAAACUGCAAUGGAUUAUCCUGAAGCCUACAGGUACAUGUAUUAUGUACAUGUAUGUACUCUGAAUAUCAGACAGCGCUCACUCAGUGCUGAAGGCCACUGAUUGUUGGUGACGCCGCCUGUUAAAAACAUACCUUUCCCCAAUGGGCUGAAACAUGUGGCGGCUGGUGUUCUUUCUUGAAAAUUGCUCGAUCAAAUGUCGUUACGCUGGACACUAGCAAACACUAGCCUACUGCAGCAUUCAGCAGACACACUGCAGCAUUAUCAUCCAACUAGUUCUGUUUGAGUCCACCUGAAGAAUGGAUGUCCAACACUCACUCAUCUUUAAUCAGCUACACAAAUAUCUGGCUUUUUUGCUCGGAUACGUUCCAGACGUGAUUUGAGGCAGAUUUGGUUCCUAUGACAUUGAUCUCGCUGUAUGAGGGAUGAUUCCUGGUUUGGAUUCUUCCCUGCAGCACUGCCGUCAGUGCAUAGCUCCUACAAGAAAAGAUGACGAAGCCCAUUUCUCUCAGAGGCUUGUCCACCAUCUGACCACCCUGCUCCCCAGAGGAUGAACCCUUGAGAUCUGACUGACAGCAUCAUCCCUCUAAUGUCAGUCUAGGGAAACAUUUGUCCCCACCGCCGGUGUAUACAGGGGGGGUCACUAAUAGGCCGACUACACUGGAUCCUGGAAGCUACGUGGAUGACAGCUGAAGGGCAGAGGUCACAGAGGAUGCAAACACACACACGUCAGACUGCAGGUCUGUGAACGUGUGUGUGUGUGUGUGUGUGUGUGAAGUGGGUGGUGGUGAGGAAUCGAGAGGAGAAGGAAGUAGAAGAGGAACAAAAGAAGAAUAAACAAAGAACAAUUCCAUUCUUGCUCCUUUUGUAUUUCUCCAAUGAGAAUUUAAAUGAAAAUCAAUAAAACAAAAGCAAGUAGGAUAGAUGGACAUUUGAGAUAAAGAAAGAAUAGAGAGAUCUGGCCAUGUGGCUACAGAAGCACACAAACACAUCUCUCCUUUUUAUUGAAAUGAAAAGCCUUGUGCUGUCACAAUCGGUUGGUGGGUGGCAGUUUUAAAACUCGAUCUCUGCGUCGCCAUCAUGGAUUACGGCCGCUGCCAUGUUGUUUAUGGCAACCAAUGAACAAAAGUUACCAUAGUUGGAAUGCAAAGGAUGCAGGGACCUGUCAAUCACAGUAUCCCGCCCAAACACAUAAGCUGCUGUAUGGUCUUAAUUUACUAAAUGAUCAUCAUGCUGUAAGUAGAGAUUGAGACCAUUGCAACUCAUGUUCACAGACUAAAUCAGACUUCUAUUUGCACCCGGAUCAGUCGCCUCCGGCUUGACACGAGAGGUAGUGCAGGUUAUAAGUUCCUGGGUUUAUUAGGAGCUGGUUGUGAUAGAACAGGAAAGGGCUACUUUAACUGUCCCCAACACUACUAACCUGCCCAAACCAGCCCGAGCUGGAGCGACCUCGCAGUCACAAGCCUUUCAAACUAACAUCAAAUGAUGUUUUUGGCACCAAUAAUGCUGAAACAGAGGCCCAUUUCUUUAAUGAAAGCAUAACCAUCCAUCCAUCCGUCCUCAAACCGCUUCACACAGGGUUGUUGGAGAGUCAGUCCCAGGGAACUUGGAUUGGUCCCCAGCCAAUCACAGCAUGUUUUAAUUGAGAUUGACUUUGAUCUCACAUGACGUGCAUCCAUGAAAUGUUGGGGAACAUUUACUGCUUGGGCUCACGACUGAACGGGAGCAGUGCUCAGAGAAAUCUGAAUUAUUUCAUUUAAAGCGCCUCGAACUGGCCACAUUUCAUGGUGCAGCUGUGUUUUAGACGUGAUCCCUAAUAAUGUAGGACAUAUGUAGCACAUAAAGCGUGUCACAACCAUCACAAGACACCGCAGAGGAAACAUGUUUACAGUCCAGAGAGAAAAAACAGAAAUGCUUUAAUAGUCCUACAUAAAAACAGGCUUUAUUAAUGCUGUCUGUUCUAAGGUUGUGUGUGUGUGUGUGUGUGUGUGUGUGCGUGUGUGUGUGUGCGCGUGUGUGUGAGUUCACGUCCGCCUGGCCAACUGUUGACUGCAAUCUGCUAUUCUGCAAAUCCAAAAGGUCAGAGGUCGCGCCAGUCAGAGCCACCACUUUUGCUAAUCAAAUGAAUGAGAAUUAAUUCUAUAGAGUUAAUAUUUGAAUGAAAUGUAAUGAACCGAGGCCCGAGUAGGGGAACAAUCUGGAAUCAUCUCUGUGGAGGAUUAAAGCUUUCACGCUGAUUGCGUGCAGGAGUGACGGGUCACGAGGAGCUCACACGAGGUCAGAGGGACGGAGACGCCCUUUGGCCUGUUUGGAUGGAAGAAAGUCGUUUUUAUUGCCCUCCCAGUAGAGUCAAAUGGACCACACAGCAGGGUGAGCUUCGGCCUGCUGCUCCCACAGAGCCCUCCUCAUUUUAGUUUUACCACUUUAACCAUUUCCCACCUUGUUUUCACUUCAGAAAAGUUAAGUGGAACAUCUUGGUUGCCAUAAAAGUACGUUAUUCAGUGUUUCAGAGUUUCAGAGUUUUACUUCGCUCUUUGACUUCAACGGUUGUAAUCGAGAGCUCGUUUCUAUCGAUUUGGACAGAGAAUUGAAAUCGUCACAGUCCAAAUAAAAGCUCUGGAGAACUUUUUGUGAUCCAACUACCCUCACGUCUUUUGACAGUCACACCAUAUCUACUUUUAGAUGAACCUUUCUGAAGUAAAUGAGUGGACACACUGUGGUCGUCUCCACUAGUAGAAACUGUUGGCGGCAAAAUCCCCAGAAAAAAUCCCAAACUGCAGGAGACAGUUUUCCAUCUCGCACCAGUGGUUGGAGGCGUAGCUCAGUCAACACACUCCUGGUUCAUCUCACUAGACAGCUGAAAAAGUCACGAGUCAUGAUAGUGGACAUUUGAAUGUGGCAUCUAACAGCACAUCUAUUUCCCUUGUGUGAACCGUCAAAAGAAACCAGACUAGAUGGAUCUUUCUGUAAAGGCAGAAUCUCUUUGUCGAUGGUCGGCUGGGUCUCUGACGCUGCCUGAAACGUUUGCGUCUCUUCCUCUCCUUCCUUUUCUCUCUCUGAUGGACUAAUUAUUGUCGUUGUUCUGCCGCUCGCGCUGCUCGCUGCCAAAUGGAAUUAAAAACCAAUUAUUGAUAAAUGAAGAGUGGCUUUAGCUCUGUGUGUGUGUGUGUGUGUGGGGGGGGGGGGGGUCUAUGUCUGGAACCCUGCCUAGACCAGAGUACUGCAUCUGUCAUCCAAACGCCGUGACAACCACUCAUGUGUGCCGUUGCAUCCUGCGCAUUCAACACACACAUCUGCACCGCAAUGUCUUCGCUAAGAGUGUGUGCGUCAACUAUGUCCGCCUGGGUGUGUGCUCUCGUGUGUGUGUGUGUGUGAUGUACAUCUGUGACAUUUUAGCACGUGCACAUGAACCUGUUUGCAGGUGUGUGUGCAGGUUUGUGUUCCUCAGCUGCAGCUUUGCUGCAUUCUCGUGACAGAUUGACGUGUGCACAGAUGGCGGAUGAUGAACAUAUGAAUUUCACUUCACACUUUACAUGUUGACAUGACAACAGUUUUAAAACACAUAUGAGAGCAAUAAGAAUAAGGUCAAAUGAUUGACUGGUCCGUGUGGAUGAAGUACUUUCAUCAGUGAAUACGGACAGAAGAAAUAAAUGAGAUUGCACAUCCAUCCUGGAGGAAGCAUCCCUCCUCCGUAAGGUUUCUCCUUAUGAGUUGAGUGUCUAACAUUAGUGGUUUUAUGCUGCAAAGGUUGUAAAAAAAUGUGUGACUGUAUAAAUAACUUUACACAACACAAAGAAACCUUUAAGAAAAGGUUGCAUCAAUGAAGGGGGAAAUAAAUAGGCAAGCGCCAGUGAUGCAGAACCUGUUGGAGCAGAAAGGUUACAGGAUUUGGAUUAAAAUGCGUCUGUUUGUUUCCUCGCUUUCCCACCAGAGGUAAGUAGGUGAGUGUCACAGUCACCUGGGUGGAAGUCCUGUGUUUGUUUCAUACGUACAUGGUGAAUUCCCAUUUUUCUAAGUUAUCCCGACAGCAAACCACUGUUGCGUUGUUGCAAGAAACAUAGUUACAUAGAUACUAUUAUGUAAAAGAUUCCUGGUCCAACGUUUUCCCACCGUAGCAAAGACAUGAUCCUACUCUAUCUGAUAGGAUAAAAUGUCAGAGUGAGCCAAUCUAUCUGAUGCUUCACCCUAACCAAUAAGAGCAAUGAGAAGAAAGCAGCAGAUUAGUGGAGGAAGCCUGUUAAUAAUGGGGAUCUUCUGAUGACAUCAUGCUGCAGCUGUCAAUGACACAAAGUGUCCGUUUGAAAUCAGAAUUUGCAGCUGACUACGGAAUACACUUUUGCGGGUUUUUGGGGUUAAUAAGACUGAAAGUUUUGACUUGGGUUUCAUGCAGGACACUAACUGCCGUCUGCUGGAUGAAAGUCCUGUGUUUGUUGGACCCAUAUGCAUCCAUCCAACCGGACCCCUUUACGCUGACUGUUGUUCUGCAUCCAAAACAACUAAAUGUGUUUCCCAUUGAAUGAUCCCAACGGAGUUUUGUUGUGAGGGACGAGGAUGUUGAACUGAGUGGCGGGUGAACAAAACAGGCGUGAAGCUCAGCAGGAGAUAAAAUAUCAUUUUGUUGGGAACGGCCUUACGCGGGCGCCGUUUUGUUGGCACGGCGUAAGAUAAUGUGGUGGUUAAUAGCUAGUGUGAAAUGAAAUCAUUGACAUCAAUAGAAUUAUUAAUAAUCACUAAGAUAAUUCACUGAAUAAAUAUAUAACGAGGCACCACCCUAAAAAGGGACUAAUAACCAAACUAUAAAUCAAGUCUUAUAAUUGAUAUUUAUUCAUUAAGAGCGAGGAAUUGAAUGUUGGAGUUUGUACACUGGCUGUGUUUCCAACCAGCAUCACAGUACACAAAGAAAUCACAGAGAACUGCUCCUUAAAGUUUAUUAACUUCCAAUAAUACUAAUCAGAUCAAUACCAUUUGAAAUCAACAAAAGCUACUGUACCUAAUAAUAUCCUAAUAUCUAUACAACAAAUAAAAACAUUCCUCCAUGCAUGUGGAGGUGUGUGUGUGUGUGUGUGUGUGUGUGUGUGAGAGAGAGCUCAGGAAGGGAGCUAGCUGGACGCUAAGCUACCGACCACAUGGCUGAGGUGUGUUUUACACCGCGGGAAGGAAGAAGAAGAAAAAGUCAAAGCAAAGCAGAUCUUAUUUGAACAGUGGAACAGUAGUGGUUCAUAAGCAAACACAACUAAACAAUACAGUAAACACCAACAAAAAAUAACGACACAUGCUAAUCUAGCUUCUGCCUUACUGUGCGUUGACGGGGUUUCUGCGUUUCCUCGAGUUUCGUUUAUCGAUGGAUGGAUCAAUCGGGGAUUAAAGGGGACUGUUGGGUUUCUUGGUGGCACAAAAGCUGUUGGUGCUCUUAUGUGCUCUUUACGCAAGUUGUAUCCAAGGGGGUAGAAGACGUUUUCCUUCUUGGAGAGCUGCUUGGGUCGGAAGUGAAGGCUGGGGCAGCCGGACGUCUCCGGAGCAGCUAGAAGAUGGUUUGGGUUGGAGAAGCCUGAAUCCUUCAUCCUGAGGCCAGUCCAGAAAGUUGAUUUGAAGAGGCUGUGUUGUGCUGCUUGCGCUGGCGAAGGCCAGUUCGGAUCUCACAGGUAACACCAGGGGGACCCCUGUGGUGUCUGUGGCUUGGCCAAUCAGAUCUCAGGGCUGUUUCACCCAGAGAGAGAUCACACCUGGUGUGAAGGCACAUUCCGUUUGGGGUUUUAUGUCCUGCAGCAGAACACUGCAUCCAUAAGUCAGCCUUGGUCUUGUGGUGGAGCCCAACACUUUACAGCUCUACAAGUGUUCUGGUGACUUUCAGGGACACGACCAGGGGCUUAUUUGUAUUUCCUUGCCUUUUCUUUCAUUAGGUAACACUCAUUUCCUCGGGUUACGUCUUCUCCAGUAAACACAAAACAACAUCUAAAUGAGAAGGGACAUACAUUCGACAUAAAACAGUCACUAAAUAUGUUCUUGGUGAAAUAAUGAUGACGCCUUAUUAAAAUGAUUCAUUCACAGACAAAAAUAGACAGAUACACAUCCACACACUCAUCCCUACAUGCAUGCAGUUUGAAUGAAUGAAUACGCAGUAAAUUCACCUGAUGCUUUCUGUGAGGACCAGGCUAUUUUUAAGGGACUAUAUGGGGUUUCCACGUGAAAAUCCUUAUAUACACAUGUGUGUAUAUAUAUACACAUAUGUGUGUGUUGUGUUAGCGGGGGGUCGAGGGACUGGAGUGUUUUUGCAGAAAAUAGUUUUGUAAUUACGUCUGCGAGGGAGGAAACUCGUUAUCGGCGUUGGCGAGUGGCCGAGGGCAAACGCUUUGAAAUACUGCUCCUCUUCAGCGCGGCAACGCCAAAAUACUGGUAAUAACUACUGAUAAACAAGGCGAGUGUAAUUGCAUCUAUUUGCAUUUUUAAAUAAGGCUGCUGAAGGAAAACAGUGACAGUGGCUGUAAGGAGCAAAAGGGGAGCUGCUUUCUUUUUUUAUUUCUGCCUCUUUUCAUUAACGAUUUUUGUUUCAGCUUUCUAAUCAUUCCUAAGGAUUAAUAUUAGCAUUGUUUCAGAGGUUAAAGCUAAGCAGUUGCUGCUGCCCUUCAAAAUGUUUAAAAUGCUUUCAAUGAUUAGAACAUGUGGUUGGUGCUUUUCAGCGGAGCAUCUACACAUCUGCUUUCAUGUAAAUAUUUACAGUGAAUUUUACCAUGGAGAACACAGGAGUACACAGGGAGUACACAGGAAGUACACAGGGAGUACACAGGAAGUACACAGAGAGUACACAGGAGUACACAGGGAGUACACAGGAGUACACGGGAGUACACAGGAAGUACACAGGGAGUACACAGGAAGUACACAGAGAGUACACAGGAGUACACGGGGAGUACACAGGAGUACACGGGGAGUACACAGGAGUACACAGGGAGUACACAGGGAGUACACGGGGAGUACACAGGAGUACACGGGGAGUACACAGGAGUACACAGGGAGUACACAGGGAGUACACGGGGAGUACACAGGAAUAUACGGGGAGUACACAGGGAGUACACAGGGAUACACGGGGAGUACACGGGGAGUACACAGGGAGUACACAGGAGUACACAGGGAGGAACAAGGAGGGAGGAAGGACAAGCUGAACCUGUCUACCUGCUGUGCUGUCAGCUGAUUGGGGGCGGGCUGGUUAAGUACUGGCCGGGCAGACGGCGGCACCGUUAAGCGUUAACUGUUCUCUCGCUGCGCUCAGUUGUCAUUUCAGGGCCACCAGGUGCAAAUGGUUAUAUAUUUUGCUUUUCGAUAGCAUUGACUUUGUUUGCGAAAAUGUCCAAUUUGGACAUCGAUCCAUUUGCAAGACUCCACUGUCAACGGGAGCCGGCUAGCAGCUCAGCGAGCGGCCAGGAAGGAGCACUCGCCUUAGGAGGUGCAGCAGCUCCCCAGCGGACGAGCAAGAAGCCAUUGUGGCUCAAUUUACAGAGCGUGGAGUGGUCACAGCACCGGGCCUCCCUCUGUCCCAGUAAGGCUCACAGCCGGUGGAAAGCGACUCUAUCCCUCCCCUCCACCCGCACCAGGGCGGAAAAUCAGAACCAACACAAGCUCCGCGGGCUAAGAGAAAGUAGGCUACUUCACCACCACCAGCUCCUCCGGGCCCAUCGAGGACCGGUAUCACGGCCAUCUCCACCUACACGGCACUGGUCAACUCGAUGACCACCAUCUCGCCUUCAACACCUGGUGAACACGGAGCCCAUUCCAUCUCCAUCCGGUAACUCUCGGUAUGGCAACUCAACCCCCCACAUCCACGCAGAUUCGAGCAGCGCAGCAUUCACUGGCAUCUGCAGUCCCUCAUCGUCUUUUAGGUAGGCCAUACUUUUCCAAUGUAGCUAACAUAUCGGCCCGCCUAAGGUCGAAAACCCUGCAGGACGAGACACUGAGACCCUGUCCUCUCCGGACAUACUUUACUCUGAUGUCUCUCUUAAAACACCUGAAGUCGUCAGUCGACGCAUAAACAACAUAAUCAAACCCGUCGACUCAACGCAACGUUAAGCUCCCUGAGUCAUGAGGAGCUGUCUCCUGUGAGACACCACGUGUCUCAACAGGGGAGACCUACAUCCGGAGGACACCUUGGUAACCCGAGAGACCACCUUACCGUACCGAGACAGUUCCCUAGUUAACACCUCGUCUCUGACGAACGGAGGAACGUGUGACACCGUGAUCUUAACAGCUGAUCUUGCGAGCGGUAAGACGGGAAAGAAGUGGUCGUUCACCUCGACCCCGUCUCCAUGACGAGGUCUGCGUCCUCCACGCUGCCGACAAAUAUGAGCACAGCCCCGUUCAUCCGCGCUGCCGACCAUCUCCCCCACCGCCAGGCCGCAGUCCUCCACCGAGCACGGGAAGCGCGGCGGUAUUUUGAAGCCGUGCUUCCUCGUUAGCUCCGUGAGCGCCAUGUCGUCGUGUAGCGCAAACUACCCACAAUCACCCAAACCUUUAAUGUGCACGAACACCACGAACCCUGCGCCCCACGACACGUAUAAUACACCCCAUUAACAGCAAGGAAUAACGAACGGACUAUCAGACGCUCACAAUCACGCUCAACACUCCUUCCACACACACACACACACACACACACACACACACACACACACACACAGAAGGCAGUUAUACUGUUCUACUAAUUAGACAAGUUCACUAGUUUUAUUUAAUAUACAAUUAUUGAAAUGAAAGGUAUGUCUUAAGUUACAUGAGCUACAUGACAGUCAGUGAUUAUUAUUAUUAUUAUUGUGGUGUAUUAUUGGUGUAAUGCUGCUCAUGCUUCAACUGUAAAAGAAAACAGUAAACAUCUUCCAAGAGAUGGUCAGGAUGCUCCUGUGAAGCUCCGUUUUGAUAAGUUUUGAGUUAAAAUAGUUUUGAUUAUUUAAUCAUUUGAUGAUUGUUUAUACAUUAUGGCCUAGUUUCGUCUGCCUGAUAUUAAUUAAUUAAUUCAAUUUAAUUAGUUUAUUAACAGAAAUAAAUAUAAGAUCUGAAAAAAUAUUGUACUGUGUUUUUUAUUCAAUUAUGUAAUAUUCUUUUUCAUUUCAUUGUCUUUUGUUGUGGUUUUAGCUCCUGUCCCCCACAGUGUCUGUGCACGGGCCUAUAUAUGAAGAGGCUAUAUAUAUAAAUGCUUCACCUGGUUGGGAGCAUUAGAUCCUUGCUACAAUAUACGUAUGCAAAAUAAUGCAAACACAACUUCAACCACUGUAGUAAGAGUAAAGAUACCCCAUGCUAAUUAGUCGAGAAACCAAAGCCUUCUCUAGAGUAGUUUUCCCUCAUUCUAUCAAAGUGAAACUUGACACUUAAGGCUAUUAUGUAGAUGUGGUUUUAGCCUGUUAUCUCCAUGUUUAUAGCAUUUAUAGGGCUGUUUUUCAACCUUUCAACCUUUUUGACGGCAAUCUCAAAAUUCAAACUUUUUUGUGUGUGUAAUAUUGAUACAUAUUCACCAGUAACAUAUUAACUUAUUUUUAAACAUCAUAGCAUAUGAGUUCCCCUUUUUCCCCACAGAAAAAUGUGUCCAAUUAGACAAAGUUCCAGAGUUAUUAUACGUUUUAUGUGUGGAGAAAGUUAUAUAUUAUAUAAUAAUACGGGCAGACGACAUCCAGCGUUCUGAUUGGUUGAGAGUGAGUCAUGGGGUGUGGAUUAUUCAGCGAUGAUGUACAGUUGCUGUUCACAUUGACCCGAGCGUUCCGUAUCACUGCGCACUCAAAGUAGCAGGUUAGCUUUUGCGCGACCGUUAAGCCUAGUUCAUGCUUCUGCGUUUUCAGAGAAACGCAAGAGUCCCUUGCGUGUCCCUUGCGUGUCCCUUGCGUGUCUUUUCACACCUCCUUGUGUGCGUCGACCCAUUUUUCUCGACCAGCGUCUAAAGCGACGCAGCCUCCUGCAGCACCAGGCUGUGAUUGGUCCGCUGACUACGUCCUUUACGGAGUCUCACGUCUCCGUUUUCACAGCACAAUACGGCCGUUAUUAAAAGGAAGAACGUUGACGAGAGAACGGAUCAGAUUGAAGAGCUUUUAAAUAUGAGCGCUUGUACAAGCCGUCAUUGGCGGACUAUGAGGACGCCGGAUGGCCUCUGAUUCAUGGAGGGAGAUCUCCACCAACGAGGGGAACAAAGUCGUGGAGGAAAAUACGGGACAAAUGUGUCCGUGAUGAAAAGCAGCAGUGUGGAUGCACGGGGCAAUAAAGUCUAUGAUCAAUAAAUAAAGCAACCAGCGACUUCCACACACAAAGACGUGACUCUCUAGGUCGUCUUCAACAAAACACGUGACUCCACCUGUUGUUCUGGAGGUGAAUCGCUCUGCAACACACGCACGACUUUACAACCAGGAAGUGAAACCAGUGCGUCGACGCGUAAAGACGCAGAAACACGCGCCGGCCUUUAGUUGACAUUUGCAAGGAGACCCAAUACUGUUUACAUGCAUGUACUUUUUUUCUCUGGACUACUGAAAUGAGAUACAUGUUUGGUGGCUGCAACUAUUUUGUGCUGAAGGCAGCUAUUUACUUACUAUUAAUAAUGUUGCUGGUAACUGUAUUAUAAAAGCAAUAAGGUACUUGAAGCAGUACUUUAUUUCAGUAAAUUGGCCGAUAAAGUACAGCCUCUCGUACCUUAUUGCUUAAAUAAAUGAUAAAACAAAAGAAAAAAAAGGAAAGACUCAAAGCAGAACAGAUCUUAGCACCCACAGUAAGACACGUUCUUUAAUCAUUUUCAGCAGCACGCUCUCUGAAAUUAUACUUCAAGGGAUGACGUCACUUAGAACUAAAUAUUUCAUUGGUCAAACGUUCGCAGGCCAGAAUCUGUUUUUUUCCAUUUUAAAUCAUUCCAACAUUCAGGUGUUGAUAAUGUAAUUUAUCAAUGGCUGCAUUCCAUUUAGUUGCUUCAGUUUUCAUUUCAUUGGUGAGAAUAUGCGGUACAUACAAAAAAGCAUCAACUUAUGGAUGUUGGCAGAUGCCGUUCAUUCAUCCACAUUAUUUCUCGUUGUUGCUUUCUUUGUAUCUUAUGUACUUUACUUUUACUAUUUACACUCCUCCACUCUCUUCGCUGGUACCGGUGGCUCAUCCAGUUCUAAACACUGGUGCUCAGUGCUGUAGUGGUAAAAUUAGAGGUGGGUAAACUCUGAAUUUUGUGAUCAUACAGACCUCGACGUGAUGCGAAGCAACGCAACACAAAGCGUCGCGACUCUGUUAGGCUGUCCUGGCUAUAUUGCAUUAUGUUAUCAGUAAAAGUCAUAUACAAUCAAUGACAAUGAAUACAUGUGUUAGUAGUUUGUAGUUUAUUAAAUUUAAGAAAACAGUAAAGAAAAGUAUGUCAACACAACACAACAACACAAUUGCACAUUAAGAACUAUCUACAUAUGGAGUCUCCUUUUUACAGUAGUGCCCAGAGGGCCUCCUUGUCCUCCACGUCAGGUCCUGCCUUGCACAGAGGAGCCAUGAACCCCAGAACACGUUCCUCUGUGCUUCUCCUCUCUCUAUUGGACCUGGUGUUUCUCUCCCUGUGCUCUCUGCAUCACUGCCUGUCCUCUCACUGCCUGAACUAUGUUGAAUUUAAGAGUUAACCAGUUAAGCAGCCUGUCAAUUACACUGACAACAUAAGUUAAGGAACACUCAUGUGCUACCUAUGUCAUCAUUUCUUCACAUUGAGAAAAAAUGUGUCGUUUUACCGUGCACGACCAGCGAACACAGAGCGCGCGAUUAUUACUACC
Gasterosteus aculeatus aculeatus (three-spined stickleback) is the source of this 13815-nucleotide long non-coding RNA. NCBI's taxonomy places the organism in Eukaryota, Metazoa, Chordata, Actinopteri, Perciformes, Gasterosteidae. The record is from Ensembl.